UACGGAGGAUGCGAGCGUUAUCCGGAUUUAUUGGGUUUAAAGGGUGCGUAGGCGGGCGCCUAAGUCAGCGGUGAAAGUCAGCGGCUCAACCGUUGGAUUGCCGUUGAAACUGGGCGCCUUGGAUUCGGUCGGGGCCGGCGGAAUGCGUGGUGUAGCGGUGAAAUGCUUAGAUAUCACGCGGAACGCCGAUCGCGAAGGCAGCUGGCCAGACCUGGAUCGACGCUGAGGCACGAAAGCGUGGGGAU
This 245-nucleotide ribosomal RNA is filed under the name uncultured Porphyromonadaceae bacterium. Its description in RNAcentral is "partial 16S ribosomal RNA". It matches the Rfam family "Bacterial small subunit ribosomal RNA", at positions 524 to 768 of the family's 1533-position model. Lineage: Bacteria; Pseudomonadati; Bacteroidota; Bacteroidia; Bacteroidales; Porphyromonadaceae. The record is from RNAcentral.